Molecule: non-coding RNA, 30 nt
Filed under: Gallus gallus (chicken)
Lineage: Eukaryota; Metazoa; Chordata; Aves; Galliformes; Phasianidae
Also listed under: 5 other names
Source: RNAcentral
AUGGUUAGCACUCUGGACUCUGAAUCCAGC